RNAcentral lists this ribosomal RNA (2410 nucleotides) under Triticum aestivum (bread wheat). Its description in RNAcentral is "partial small subunit ribosomal RNA". Lineage: Eukaryota; Viridiplantae; Streptophyta; Magnoliopsida; Poales; Poaceae. The record is from RNAcentral.
GUGGCCAGCGGCACUCUCAGGGCCGGCUGUUGCUGCGGGCGCCGGUGGGGUUUAGCCUUUGGGUUUGGGUUUGUUGGGUCGGGUGCCCGCGGGCUCGUGGUGGCGUCUAAGGCGGCCUGCCGCUGCCUUUGGGAGCUGUGUCCGGGGGUAGCGGGGGCGGGGGCGGCGGCGGUGGGGAGGGGGUAGCGGAGGGGCGGGCGCGGCGCGCGUACCGGCGGAGGAUGAUGUUGGGCGGCGGACGGUCCUGGAGGAUGCGGUGGGACGGGGGAGGGGGCGGCCCGUGGAGGAGCAUGCCGUGCAUGGCGGUCGUGCUCGUGCGGAUGGAUCGCUGCGUGGGAGGCGGGCGCAUGCCGCCGAUGAAGCUGGCGCGCCUCGGGGACCGCGGCGGCGCGCUGCUCGACGCGUGGGAGAAGUAGCGGCCGGAGGGGCGGCUGCAGUUCGGGGCGCUCCAGAUGUUGGAGAAGGCGCUGAAGGGGCCGAUGCAGAGGAGGGUGCAGGCGAGGCCGUUUAGGUGGGUCAGCAUACGCAAACGACACAAACGUCUAGUCGGCAGACGCAAUCGACGUUACUCACGGUGUUUACCUAACUAUAAACUGGAACUCUUCUUGACAAGAUAGGUACAUCUAGAACGUUUUAGAUUAAGUUCUAGUUUGAGUAGUUUCGCGGGUUCUAGUCUGAUACUCCUAAAGGGAUUUAGAUGACCCUUUUUUCGAUCUUCGGGUUCCCCUGCAGGACUAAGUCCACGACCUUCGUUAUAAGUGUACAGGCCUUACCCAUUAAGAAGUGUGUCGGACUUACCAAUAGGACGUGUUUCGAUAUACCUAAAACCAAGAUCACGACGAAAGUCGUUCCUAGGCCGUUAUAAACGAGGAGUUUUAUUAGGCGGUACAGGAUGCGAAAAACAACGUUUAGAACCAGUCUGACAAAGACUAGCACUCGACUGACUACAAAAGAGUUCAACGCUCCCUAAGUAUUUCAACUUCUACGUUUUGUUCAAACCUCGUGGUCAACGUAAACAACUAAAGUUCCUGCUGGUGUCAAGUUGACUUCGGGAUUUAGCAGAGGUUCCUCGAUAAGAUGUAAGUAGUAGACCGCUCCCGUACGCAAAUCUCAUAGGAAAAAACAUAUUAGUAUACCAACGGAGAUUCAUCUUCAUAGUAGAAUACUCUAGACCACUGUGAUUUAAACCAUGGGGGAUUAGAAAGUUAAUGUAGUGGUCGAGUGACUACGUUUUAUCAGAUACUUUACAAGUCUCAGACUAAAACUAAGUACAACCAAGCGAGAGUGAGCGUGGGCUUGGCUACUCACAGACGUUCGACUUAGAAUGGACGUGUACGAUAGUCAGUUCGUUAAUGAUAAACAGAACUGGUUACUGUAUAAUCUGUUGGUAGUACUCAUUAUAUAACUACUAUAUUAUCUCGAAUAUUCUCAUUGAUUGAUAAUAUGACUACUAUAUUAUCUCGAAUAUUCUCAUUGACUGAUGUAACAGGAAUAAAACGUAAGUAUUAAAGGGUGACACAAAAUACCACGUCAAUAAAUAUAAGGGAAUUGUACACAAUCUAUACGAUUUAGAGCCUACCCGGACGCGUUCGUCGCACUGUCGGCCAGGAUUUACCACAAGCAGCAGCCGACCGCGAGUUUACGACAAGUCAGGCUACGGUAUUAAGGCUCGGCACCAAACUAAGCCUGUUCCAGAGCCAACCGACCAAGUGGGACGUGUUAUUAGGAACGACCCUUGGGACGUCCACUCGGCUGUUAUCAACCGGUUACACAACCGAAGUCGAGCACAAGCGGUUACAAAGCUAAAUUCGUGGACCAUGGACUAACCCAGGAGCGUGCUGACCGACCAGUGACGGCUGCUGUCCAGGCUAGCGGGGGGGCCGUAUGUAUAAGGGGCUAGGCAGGUGCCCCUCGGUGCAGCCCCAAGAGCAGGUGCCGGGCAGUGAGCUCAAAAGCAAACGCUCCCGUCCCCUGACGUUCACCUGGAGCGACGGCAUCCCGACCCACCCUGAUGGCCCUGACGUAGUUGCAGCUGCCAGACGACAUACCUAAGUGUUCGAAACGCGUCCAGGCGUGCAAGCUAGAGUGGCCAGGAUGGCAGUGCUCCUUGUCUUAAUAUCUGCCGUACAACCUCUUAAUAGAGGCACGCGCCGAGAUGGAGCAGGUCUGGGGCAGGCUGUCGCCUAGGCUCAGGAAGUGGAGGUCUAGGCAGCUGGGGUUUGAGUAGGGUACGCCGGGGCUCCUCCUCCACCAGUAGGCCGAACGCGAGACGGCGCGGGCCCUCCUCCGGGUACCUGCCAACGCGAGCCUGAGGUAGGCAACCCUUAGGUAACGCAGGCGGGUUUACCCCGUACCUAGGCCGCGAUCCGGCCGGUAUCGACGGAGCAGCCUCCGGCACGCCAGGCAGAUC